UAGACCCGAAACCAGGCGAUCUAUCCAUGAGCAGGUUGAAGGUUGGGUAACACUAACUGGAGGACCGAACCCACUGUCGUUGAAAAGCCAGGGGAUGACUUGUGGAUAGGGGUGAAAGGCUAAUCAAGCCUGGUGAUAGCUGGUUCUCCCCGAAAGCUAUUUAGGUAGCGCCUCGGACGAAUACCAUUGGGGGUAGAGCACUGUUUCGGCUAGGGGGUCAUCCCGACUUACCAAACCGAUGCAAACUCCGAAUACCAAUGAGUACUAUCCGGGAGACAGACUGCGGGUGCUAACGUCCGUAGUCAAGAGGAAAACAAUCCAGACCGCCAGCUAAGGCCCCAAAAUCAUAGUUAAGUGGGAAACGAUGUGGGAAGGCAUAGACAGCUAGGAGGUUGGCUUAGAAGCAGCCACCCUUUAAAGAAAGCGUAAUAGCUCACUAGUCGAGUCGGCCUGCGCGGAAGAUGUAACGGGGCUAAAACUAUGUGCCGAAGCUGCGGAUGCAUAAUUUAUUAUGCGUGGUAGGGGAGCGUUCUGUAAGCCGAUGAAGGUGUAUUGAGAAGUAUGCUGGAGGUAUCAGAAGUGCGAAUGCUGACGUGAGUAACGACAAAACGGGUGAAAAACCCGUUCGCUGAAAGACCAAGGGUUCCAGUCCAACGUUAAUCGGGGCUGGGUGAGUCGACCCCUAAGGCGAGGCCGAGAGGCGUAGUCGAUGGGAAAUUGGUUAAUAUUCCAAUACUUCUGUGUAAUGCGAUGAGAGGACGGAGAAGGUUAAGUCAGCCUGGCGUUGGUUGUCCAGGUGGAAGGUUGUAGGCAUGCAUCUUAGGCAAAUCCGGGGUGCUCUAUGCUGAGAACUGAUAGCAAGCUGUACUUGUACAGUGAAGUGGCUGAUACCAUGCUUCCAGGAAAAGUCUCUAAGCUUCAGUUACACAGGAAUCGUACCCGAAACCGACACAGGUGGUCAGGUCGAGUAGACCAAAGCGCUUGAGAGAACUCUGCUGAAGGAACUAGGCAAAAUGGUACCGUAACUUCGGGAGAAGGUACGCUGUUGUCGGUGAUGGAACUUGCUUCCUGAGCUGAUGACAGCCACAGAAACCAGGCCGCUGCAACUGUUUAUUAAAAACAUAGCACUCUGCAAACACGAAAGUGGACGUAUAGGGUGUGAUGCCUGCCCGGUGCUGGAAGGUUAAUUGAUGGGGUUAGCGUAAGCGAAGCUCUUGAUCGAAGCCCCAGUAAACGGCGGCCGUAACUAUAACGGUCCUAAGGUAGCGAAAUUCCUUGUCGGGUAAGUUCCGACCUGCACGAAUGGCAUAAUGAUGGCGGCGCUGUCUCCAGCAGAGGCUCAGUGAAAUCGAAUUCGCCGUGAAGAUGCGGUGUACCCGCGGCUAGACGGAAAGACCCCGUGAACCUUUACUGCAGCUUGACAUUGAACUUUGACCUUACUUGUGUAGGAUAGGUGGGAGGCUUUGAAGUUGGAACGCUAGUUCCAAUGGAGCCGUCCUUGAAAUACCACCCUGGUAAUGUUGAGGUUCUAACUCUGCCCCGUAAUCCGGGGCGAGGACCAUGUCUGGUGGGUAGUUUGACUGGGGCGGUCUCCUCCUAAAGAGUAACGGAGGAGUACGAAGGUGCGCUCAGCGUGGUCGGAAAUCACGCGUAGAGUAUAAAGGCAAAAGCGCGCUUAACUGCGAGACCCACAAGUCGAGCAGGUACGAAAGUAGGUCUUAGUGAUCCGGUGGUUCUGUAUGGAAGGGCCAUCGCUCAACGGAUAAAAGGUACUCUGGGGAUAACAGGCUGAUACCGCCCAAGAGUUCAUAUCGACGGCGGUGUUUGGCACCUCGAUGUCGGCUCAUCUCAUCCUGGGGCUGAAGCAGGUCCCAAGGGUAUGGCUGUUCGCCAUUUAAAGAGGUACGCGAGCUGGGUUUAGAACGUCGUGAGACAGUUCGGUCCCUAUCUACCGUGGGCGCUGGAAAUUUGAGAGGAUCUGCUCCUAGUACGAGAGGACCAGAGUGGACGAACCUCUGGUGUACCGGUUGUCACGCCAGUGGCAUCGCCGGGUAGCUAUGUUCGGAAGGGAUAACCGCUGAAAGCAUCUAAGCGGGAAGCCUACCUCAAGAUAAGAUUUCCCUAGGAAUUUAUUCCUCUAAAGAGCCGUUCGAGACUAGGACGUUGAUAGGUUGGGUGUGGAAGCACGGUGACGUGUGAAGCUGACCAAUACUAAUUGCUCGUGAGGCUUGACUAU
This 2236-nucleotide ribosomal RNA is filed under the name Acinetobacter tjernbergiae. RNAcentral describes it as "bacterial LSU rRNA". It matches the Rfam family "Bacterial large subunit ribosomal RNA", at positions 710 to 2925 of the family's 2925-position model. The record is from RNAcentral. Lineage: Bacteria; Pseudomonadati; Pseudomonadota; Gammaproteobacteria; Moraxellales; Moraxellaceae.